UACCAGCUCUUCGAGUGGUGUGGAUGUUUAUUGGGCCUAAAGCAUCCGUAGCUGGCUGGGCAAGUCCCCUGUUAAAUCCACCGAUUUAAUCGUUGGAGUGCGGGGGAUACUGUUCGGCUAGGGGACGGGAGAGGCAGACGGUAGUUUCGGGGUAGGGGUGAAAUCCUAUAAUCCCGAGAAGACCACCAGUGGCGAAGGCUGUCUGCUAGAACGCGCCCGACGGUGAGGGAUGAAAGCUGGGGGAGCGAACCGGAUUAGAUACCCGGGUAGUCCCAGCUGUAAACGAUGCAGGCUAGGUGUUUGGGCGGCCACGUGCCGCUCUAGUGCCGCAGGGAAGCCGUUAAGCCUGCCGCCUGGGGAGUACGGCCGCAAGGCUGAAACUUAAAGGAAUUGGCGGGGAGCACCACAAGGGGUGAAGCUUGCGGUUU
RNAcentral lists this ribosomal RNA (428 nucleotides) under uncultured archaeon. Its description in RNAcentral is "bacterial SSU rRNA". It matches the Rfam family "Archaeal small subunit ribosomal RNA", at positions 474 to 903 of the family's 1478-position model. The record is from RNAcentral.